This is a long non-coding RNA of Gastrolobium bilobum, 567 nucleotides long. RefSeq lists it as uncharacterized. The transcript has 3 exons. Lineage: Eukaryota; Viridiplantae; Streptophyta; Magnoliopsida; Fabales; Fabaceae. The record is from RefSeq and is a predicted model, not a curated record.
GGGAAUUUCCUUUUCUCCAUCUUCAAUCUCAGAACCUUGUGCAGAGUGAUGCCGUAUUGGCAUGGCAUCCAUCAACCCCUUCAGCAAAGGAUGUUCAAAGGUUCAAACAAAACUAAGGUGCAUCGGAUCGACGUCGUUUCGAGAUGGAUUCUAAGGACCCAAAUUUCAAACAGAUCUCUUGAAAUUGCUCAAUUUUCAGGGUACUGGAGUUACUAUGCUUGGUGGUUUAUGAACACACUUUUUAUCAAUAAAGGUUGUCACAAAUCAGCAAGCCCUUAUGGGCUUAUCUACUUCAGUGGAUGAAGUUGCAUAAUCUUUCACUGUAGGCCGCAGCCAAUCAAAUACUUGAAAUUAUGCGUUUUGGAAAUACCCUUCUAACUCAAUCAACAGCUUCAAAUUCCCAUUAUGAUAAUAGGAGAUGGAUUUUGCCACAAAUGAAUGAAGAUUAAGGUGGUCGCAAGUAUUAAAGACAUUCACAGUAUUUGUUAAAGUUGUGUCUCAAGAGAUAUCGGCUAAUUGAGAGAAUAUUACAUCAAAUAAUUUUUUUUUUUCAUUUCUCAUCGUGUU